AAGACGACGACGUUGAUAGGCCGGGUGUGUAAGCGCGGCGAUGCGUUGAGCUAACCGGUACUAAUGAACCGUGAGGCUUAACCUU
RNAcentral lists this ribosomal RNA (85 nucleotides) under Klebsiella pneumoniae. Its description in RNAcentral is "partial 23S ribosomal RNA". It matches the Rfam family "Bacterial large subunit ribosomal RNA", at positions 2841 to 2925 of the family's 2925-position model. The record is from RNAcentral. Lineage: Bacteria; Pseudomonadati; Pseudomonadota; Gammaproteobacteria; Enterobacterales; Enterobacteriaceae.